UACGUAGGGGGCUAGCGUUGUCCGGAAUUAUUGGGCGUAAAGCGCGCGCAGGCGGUCCUUUAAGUCUGAUGUGAAAGCCCACGGCUCAACCGUGGAGGGUCAUUGGAAACUGGGGGACUUGAGUGCAGGAGAGAAGAGUGGAAUUCCACGUGUAGCGGUGAAAUGCGCAGAUAUCAGGAAGAACACCAAUGGCGAAAGCAGCUCUCUGGGACGGUACUGACGCUGAGACGCGAAAGCGUGGGGAGCGAACAGG
RNAcentral lists this ribosomal RNA (253 nucleotides) under uncultured bacterium. RNAcentral's name for it is "partial 16S ribosomal RNA". It matches the Rfam family "Bacterial small subunit ribosomal RNA", at positions 524 to 776 of the family's 1533-position model. The record is from RNAcentral.